RNAcentral lists this ribosomal RNA (253 nucleotides) under uncultured prokaryote. Its description in RNAcentral is "partial 16S ribosomal RNA". It matches the Rfam family "Bacterial small subunit ribosomal RNA", at positions 526 to 777 of the family's 1533-position model. The record is from RNAcentral.
CAGAGGGGGCAAGCGUUGUUCGGAAUUACUGGGCGUAAAGAGCUCGUAGGCGGUUCGGUAAGUCGGGUGUGAAACCUCCAGGCUCAACCUGGAGUCGCCACUCGAUACUGCUGUGACUAGAGUCCGGUAGGGGAGCGUGGAAUUCCUGGUGUAGCGGUGAAAUGCGCAGAUAUCAGGAGGAACACCAGCGGCGAAGGCGGCGCUCUGGGCCGGAACUGACGCUGAGGAGCGAAAGCGUGGGUAGCAAACAGGA